RNAcentral lists this long non-coding RNA (1200 nucleotides) under Zonotrichia albicollis (white-throated sparrow). RNAcentral describes it as "lncRNA (ENSZALG00000006014.1)". Lineage: Eukaryota; Metazoa; Chordata; Aves; Passeriformes; Passerellidae. The record is from RNAcentral.
CCCCUUUGUGCUGCCAGCAUCCCUCCACCACCCACCCGUGUGCAUCCCAGGGUGCGCUGGAGCCGCGGAACUUCCUGCACCGACAGCUCAGACGGUCACACCCUCAUCUCUGAGCAGCCUCUACCACUCACACCCUGCCUGAGCAUCCUGAGGCAACCCCGCUGUGACCGGGCCAUCGUGGGGAGGGGGACAUUGCAGGCUGCGGUCCUGCACCCACCGUGACUGCGCACAUGCUCAAUCUUGUCUCCUUUCUCGCGGAAUUAGCGUGACACAAUUAAGGCAUCUCGUUAUUCGGCAUUAUUUACUCCAAAGGCAGCGCGGGGCCGGCCGCGGGGAGCUGGCAGCUCGGCGUUUCGCACAUCAUUAUGUUCCCCUCGCAGCUUUGAAGUCGGAGAGCCGAGGCAGCGCCGAUUCCCCCGGCGGACUCCCGCGCCGGGCGGAGGCGGAGGCGGUGGCAGGAGGGCCCCGGGGAUGCCGUGUGGCACCCGCCAGUUCCUUCUUGUCCCGGCUGCUCAUCCUGGGAGCGCCCCCCGAAGCCAUCCCCGCAUGGCUCCUGGCCAUCCCGGGCUGCGGGAGUGCGGACAGACAUCCCUGCCCGCUGCCCAAACGCGUUCCUUUUCCAGGCACAGGGAUACCCCCUUGGCACGGCACCAGCUUGUGCAGAAGGGAAACAAGGCUCCCAAAGCCCUGGUGCCUCGCUGUGCUCCAUCCCUGGGAGCACUGGGGGCUCUCCCCGGAGUGGCAGGCCGGGAUGGGCGCACAGGGACACCGGGGCUCCUUUGAUGCCGCGGGUUUAUUUACAAAUGGCGUGCGAUAUCCUGUUCCUCCUGGCGCAGCGGGAAUUGAGCAGCAGAGGCCGCGGGUUUGCUCAGCCUGCCAGGCCUCCCCAGGCAGCGCCGAACCCAAAGGCUCCUUCACCUUUCCUUCUUCUCAGGACUCAUUCCACCCCUUUUUCGAUCUUCCUCUGCCUUUGCUGCUUCUCCUUUUUCCAGCGUGACUUUCUGCUCUGUGCUGGCAGCACGAAUCCUUUUAUCCCUCCGUGCCCACGCAGCGGGGCUGGAGGAUGCUGCCUGGGCAGAUGGGUUAUCCCCAAGGUUAAGCAGCAUCUCGGCGUCCCUCCCGGGCACCGCUUGCCUCCAUCCUCGCUCUAAGGCUGGAAGAUCUGCCAGCAUGCCUGGCUCUGUCCCGGCUGCAGGGAUU